Molecule: small nuclear RNA, 194 nt
Filed under: Cyphomyrmex costatus
Lineage: Eukaryota; Metazoa; Arthropoda; Insecta; Hymenoptera; Formicidae
Description: U2 spliceosomal RNA
Rfam family: U2 spliceosomal RNA
About the family: U2 is a small nuclear RNA (snRNA) component of the spliceosome (involved in pre-mRNA splicing). Complementary binding between U2 snRNA (in an area lying towards the 5' end but 3' to hairpin I) and the branchpoint sequence (BPS) of the intron results the bulging out of an unpaired adenosine, on the BPS, which initiates a nucleophilic attack at the intronic 5' splice site, thus starting the first of two transesterification reactions that mediate splicing.
Source: Rfam by way of RNAcentral
AUCGCUUCUCGGCUCUCUGAGCUAAGAUCAAAUGUGUAGUAUCUGUUCUUAUCAGCUUAAUAUCUGAUACAAUCCCCAUAGGGGAUUCAGUAUAUUAACCUCAUUUUUGAACAAAGGUGGGUGUAACGGAGCUUGCUCCGUCCCCGCUAAGGGUCGACCCGGUCUUGCAGUAUCUCGGGUCCGGCCUAUAAUAG